AAUGUCUCGAAUCUGGGAAAUUUGAAUGUAAUGAACUUCAAUACACUGACUACUCUGAUUAUAAAUAUACAUCUUCUUGCCUACAGUUGCUGCCCACACAUCAGCUGCUCUUGAACAGGCCUCUGCCCAGAUCUCUGGCAACAUUCAAAGUCAUUUCGGUACACAAACAUCUGGCCUUACACAGCAAUACUGAAAAUCUGUUUAAACUUAAGUCUGUUAAUUUUAGCAAAGGGUCUUGACAUGACAGUCAUGAUGUUUUUCUGUCCUGUAGAACGGGAUCAUGCACUCUUGCGUGCUGUGGAGGAGUUGAAGGCCUUGGUGAGGCAGAACAACCUCCUCCUCCAGGCCCUUACUAGGCAAAAAACUACAGCAGCAGCAGCAGACACUCUAUCUGAGGAAUUUAAGUUCCCAAUGAACUGCGAGGAAGACCUUCAAAGGGUGGAGGAUCUUCUGAGGGAGAAAUCCCAGGAAAAGGCCCUGGCAGCACACCUUAGUGCGCUUGGGGGCUGCAAUCCUGGUGACGCGGUUCGAAGAAUCCUUCGCCACAUCCUCACCAACCACUUCGCGCUGCAAUUCAACUGGCUUGGCAGAGGAGGGAAGAAGCUGGCUUUUGCCUCCUACAAGGUGUGCAAUGCAGUAAGA
Gadus macrocephalus (Pacific cod) is the source of this 642-nucleotide long non-coding RNA. RefSeq lists it as uncharacterized. The transcript is spliced from 2 exons. The record is from RefSeq and is a predicted model, not a curated record. NCBI's taxonomy places the organism in Eukaryota, Metazoa, Chordata, Actinopteri, Gadiformes, Gadidae.